This 70-nucleotide transfer RNA is filed under the name Papiliolebias bitteri. RNAcentral describes it as "tRNA-Ile". It matches the Rfam family "tRNA". From Rfam's summary of the family: Transfer RNA (tRNA) molecules are approximately 80 nucleotides in length. Their secondary structure includes four short double-helical elements and three loops (D, anti-codon, and T loops). Further hydrogen bonds mediate the characteristic L-shaped molecular structure. tRNAs have two regions of fundamental functional importance: the anti-codon, which is responsible for specific mRNA codon recognition, and the 3' end, to which the tRNAs corresponding amino acid is attached (by aminoacyl-tRNA synthetases). tRNAs cope with the degeneracy of the genetic code in two manners: having more than one tRNA (with a specific anti-codon) for a particular amino acid; and 'wobble' base-pairing, i.e. permitting non-standard base-pairing at the 3rd anti-codon position. Lineage: Eukaryota; Metazoa; Chordata; Actinopteri; Cyprinodontiformes; Rivulidae. The record is from RNAcentral.
GGACUUGUGCCCGAAAUUAAAGGAUUGCUUUGAUAGAGCAAAAAUAAGGGUUAGAAUCCCUUCAAUUCCU